UACGUAGGGUGCGAGCGUUGUCCGGAAUUAUUGGGCGUAAAGAGCUUGUAGGUGGUUUGACGCGUCUGCUGUGAAAAUCCGAGGCUCAACCUCGGACUUGCAGUGGGUACGGGCAGACUAGAGUGUGGUAGGGGAGACUGGAAUUCCUGGUGUAGCGGUGGAAUGCGCAGAUAUCAGGAGGAACACCGAUGGCGAAGGCAGGUCUCUGGGCCAUUACUGACACUGAGAAGCGAAAGCAUGGGGAGCGAACAGG
Molecule: ribosomal RNA, 253 nt
Filed under: uncultured bacterium
Lineage: Bacteria
Description: partial 16S ribosomal RNA
Rfam family: Bacterial small subunit ribosomal RNA
Source: RNAcentral